UGCCAUGGUUUAACUUCUUAACGUGUGUAAAGAGAACUGAAUAAAUGUAGCCUAAGGCGCCAGUUAGAUAGAAAAACUAUGUAUUAUACUAGCCAGAUCUCCAAAUUUAAUCUCAUUUAUCUGUCAUCUUUACACAUUUGUAUAAUAAGCCAAGAGGGGCUGCAAAAGGUGAAAGUGAAAUAAAAAUGUAUGUUGUACUGAUAAUGAUCCUUAAUACUGUUGUCAUCCAUGAGCAUUGCAACCAUGGUGAUUGUGCUGCACGGCUUAAGCUUACCUAUCUGUCAUGAUCACGGAGGAGUUUGUGUGUAGCUUCGUUUCCUUAUCCAUCGUGUUCAAACUUGCUGCAGCUUAACAUGAAAAGUCAGUCCUCUCCUCCUGCUCAUUCCUUAAAUGCUAGUCAGCAGGCGUUGGCCAGAUCAGUGCACCCUUCAGAGUCCAUUACAGAUGUUUGUACAGCUUGUAAUAUUAAUAUAUUUGUAGAAUACAGCUAAAACAUUGUGUCUGUGUCUUUUCAAGCAACCCACAUGCUGAAAAUGCAGAUGUAAUAAUUGAUCAUAAAGUAUUUGAACUGUUAAUGACACAAUGCCUAUCUUCCAUUAGUUUUAACCCUAUUGUAAAGAUACAAAUCAACACAGAUGUGUUGUUUCUGCCAAUAAUCAGCAUGUAUAUUCUUAUUUGAGCAGAUUUAGUCAGCACACACAUAACAUAAACACAGAAAAAUACAAAUUACACAAGCAAACCAUAGACAUGAACUUAUCAUUGAUGUAAAAAAAAAUGCAGAAUUUCAGGAGGGAGUAUAAGCUGUACAAUCACUCAACAGCCCUACUGUCCUGUAUAGUAAAUGGAAACUGCACUGAUGACAGAGCAGGUGGCAGCCCAGAUGCAUUGCAGUGAUUGUCGUGUUUAGGGCUGCAACAACGAAUCGAUAAAAUCGAUAAUAAUCGAUUAUUAAAAGCGUUGGCAACGAAUUUCAUUCUCGAUUCGUUGUGUCGCGCGAUUCAUGCGUCACUCGCCAUGUCGCGGAGCGUCUACUCCACCUGCAGAGCUUUGUCAAUGCUGGCUGACGGAAAUAAAGUUUGUUUUUUUAAAUAACUCCACCUGUAGAGCGAGUUGAACAGAGCGAGGUGGCGGCAAAGCGAAACUAAAUUCAGAGUAAUUUCAACGAAACAUGACCGACACGGAGAAAACAGUUAGACCGAAAUCCUCAAAAGUGUGGGAGCAUUUCACGCUUCACAAAACAAAAAACAUGCGUAGCAUGCAAGCUUUACAAAAGUGAUAUGAUGUACGGGAGCACCACGAUGACGAUGCAGCACCUGAAACGGAAACACGUUGGAGUCUCCGAUGAGGAUGAAGGAGCUCAACAGCAGCAAAAAAUGACAGGCUUCAUGAUGAGAAAGACAUCAUGUCCACCACAGCAAGCAGCUGUUCUGACUCCUCAACAUGAUGGUCACUGACACGAGGCCUCUGUCGAUGGUUGAAGACGAAGGCUUCGCUACAAUGAUCUUAUUUGCUCUGUCAGUCCAAAUCUUCUCUUUCUGAAUAAAGCGGCGGAAAUUAAAAA
Long non-coding RNA from Amphiprion ocellaris (clown anemonefish), 1561 nucleotides. RefSeq lists it as uncharacterized. Lineage: Eukaryota; Metazoa; Chordata; Actinopteri; Pomacentridae. The record is from RefSeq and is a predicted model, not a curated record. The transcript has 2 exons.